UGGGGAAUAUUGGACAAUGGGCGCAAGCCUGAUCCAGCCAUGCCGCGUGUGUGAUGAAGGCCUUAGGGUUGUAAAGCACUUUCGCCGAUGAAGAUAAUGACGGUAGUCGGAGAAGAAGCCCCGGCUAACUUCGUGCCAGCAGCCGCGGUAAUACGAAGGGGGCAAGCGUUGUUCGGAUUUACUGGGCGUAAAGCGUACGUAGGCGGAUAAUUAAGUCAGGGGUGAAAUCCCGAGGCUCAACCUCGGAACUGCCUUUGAUACUGGUUAUCUUGAGUCCGGGAGAGGUGAGUGGAACUCCUAGUGUAGAGGUGAAAUUCGUAGAUAUUAGGAAGAACACCAGUGGCGAAGGCGGCUCACUGGCCCGGAACUGACGCUGAGGUACGAAAGCGUGGGGAGCAAACA
RNAcentral lists this ribosomal RNA (402 nucleotides) under uncultured Kaistia sp. Its description in RNAcentral is "bacterial SSU rRNA". It matches the Rfam family "Bacterial small subunit ribosomal RNA", at positions 355 to 774 of the family's 1533-position model. The record is from RNAcentral. Lineage: Bacteria; Pseudomonadati; Pseudomonadota; Alphaproteobacteria; Hyphomicrobiales; Kaistiaceae.